UACGUAGGUGGCAAGUGUUGUCCGGAAUUAUUGGGCGUAAAGCGCGCGCAGGCGGAUCAGUUAGUCUGUCUUAAAAGUUCGGGGCUUAACCCCGUGAUGGGAUGGAAACUGCUGAUCUAGAGUAUCGGAGAGGAAAGUGGAAUUCCUAGUGUAGCGGUGAAAUGCGUAGAUAUUAGGAAGAACACCAGUGGCGAAGGCGACUUUCUGGACGAAAACUGACGCUGAGGCGCGAAAGCCAGGGGAGCGAACGGG
This 252-nucleotide ribosomal RNA is filed under the name uncultured bacterium. RNAcentral describes it as "partial 16S ribosomal RNA". It matches the Rfam family "Bacterial small subunit ribosomal RNA", at positions 524 to 776 of the family's 1533-position model. The record is from RNAcentral.